GACGAACGCUGGCGGCGUGCUUAACACAUGCAAGUCGAACGGAAAGGUCCUGCCUUUUUGGGGUGCUCGAGUGGCGAACGCGUGAGUAACACAUGAGUAACCUGCCCUUGACUUUUGGAUAACUUCAGGAAACAGGGGCUAAUACCAGAUAGGUGCUCCUGCUGCAUGGUGGGGUUUGGAAAGUUUCGGUGGAUGGGGAUGGACUCGUCGGUUAGCAGCUUGUUGGUGUGGUGGUGGCUUACGAAGGCUUUGGAGAGUAGCCGGCCUGAGACGGUGACCGAGAAACGUAGGAGUCAGAUACGGGCGGGAGCCGUGCGGAAUGCUGCAGAGGGGUAUAUUGCACGAUGGACGGAAGCCUGAUGCAGCAACGACGCGUGCGGGAUGACGGCCUGCGGGUUGUAGACAGCAUUCGCCUGUGACGGAGGGUGGGUGACGGUAAUGGGUAAAGAAGCACCGGCUAACUACGUG
RNAcentral lists this ribosomal RNA (468 nucleotides) under uncultured bacterium. RNAcentral's name for it is "partial 16S ribosomal RNA". It matches the Rfam family "Bacterial small subunit ribosomal RNA", at positions 28 to 507 of the family's 1533-position model. The record is from RNAcentral.